CCGCGGCCGCAGAUCCCGGCAACUUGCGAACCGGGAAAAGUUUGCGGCGCCUCCGCGGGGCGGCGCGACGCGGCCCGCCCCUCGCGUCCGCGGUCAUCGCGGGUGACUUUCUCGACUCGUCGUCAGCCGGGGCCGCAGCGCGGCCGGUGGGGACUGCGGGGCGGGCCGGAGUCCGUCCGAGGGCUCCCGCACCUCGGGCUGCGGAUUUCAGGUACUCCACUGGGCAUUUUCUCUUCAUGGAGCUUAUAGCAACAAAAGUGUUUUACAAAAUAGAGUUUUCUUGCCACAGUUGUAAUGCUCAUGUUGCUUUCUUCCAGGAACAUUAAAAUCUCCCCAGAUGCUCACUGCUCUGAUCAUUUCCCCUACAGCACCAGACAUGUUGGCAUCAUCUCUUAGUUGGGCCAUGUGGCCAGGGAACCCUUCAUGAAACCACCUCUGCAGUCCUGGAGAGUUGCUGUAGAAGAAGGAAAAGAGAGGAAGACAACACAACACAGGAGGGGAUAAGUACCUCUGGACACAAUGGAAGUAGUAGUUGUUGAGCAGAGGGAAAGGGAUAGGAGAAGGAUGUGGACUGCAGUGCUGCAGUGCCAGGUAAUAACUUUGAUCAUGUACCUCCUUGGCUCAGGUGCUGUCUCUUCUACUCUCCUCCUUACUUGUACUACCUUAUUUAGCACUUAAUUAUAUACUUUCUUGACUCACUUUGAGACACACUGAUUAUGUGGUCUGCCUCAAAGACAGAAUCCUAGUUUUGGAUUUUAGCAUUACUGAUCUAUAGCCUUGCAGGGGCUUAAGGAUGGCAGCUGUCUCUCUCCCUUGGGAUCUAGCUUUUGCAAAUAUUGAAGGGAAGAGAUUUCUUUGAUCUUAUAGGAAUAGAUCCACAGUUCCUCUCCAGAUUUGCUUUUAUAGAGAAGUGUGUGUCACCAAAACAAUGGAGAUACGGUCAGAGAGGCCCCUACCCCCAGAAUUUUAAUAUAAUUUUACUUUCUGGGGCAUUUAUUCUUGACAAAUACUUUCUCUCCUAUCAGCUCACUUGUUCCUCACAAAAACCCUAUAAGAUAUUAAUAUUAUUAAACAGACCCCUAUGAAGCACCUCAAGUCUUUCUCUCUUCCCACUUCCAUUCUUGCACACCUUUUGCUAGACUAGUCUCUGCGUUCAUCACAUCAGGUUUCUAAAAUAAAAGUCCCCUAAUAACUUUCUAUUUGUUCUCUCAUCAUAUUGAACCUUUUUUGCCUGGCUUAUAAGGUGGCCUUAAAACCCCAUUUUCCUCUAAACAUUGUCUCUGUAGUUCAGGAAUAUGGCAGGCUCAACACUAUGCUUGAGCCCAUAUUGCUUCCCUCAUUAGUGAUGCCUCCUCUCAGACCACCCAGAUUCUACUCAUUCUUCAAUUUCCAGCUUCUCCUUGGAGCCUUCCCAGAUCAUUAGCUUCUUAAAAAUCCCAGCUUUCUCUGAAUUCUGAUGGUAGCCCCCGUUAUUUGGACAAUUAUGUCCUGGUCUUAAAGUCCUAAUGGGAAAAAAAAGUACAUGAUGGACUUCAUGUAGAGAAGAAAGCACUGGACUGAGUUUUAAGACAGCUGCUAAGGAGCUGUGUGAGCCAAACCAGGUUACUUUACCUCUCUGGAUCUAUAUUUGCUGAUCUGUUAAGUGGAGACAAUUGGGUCAGAUAAUCUUGGUGGUCUUUGCUUAUUCUGAGGUUCUUGGACAACUUGGCCUAGUUCACGUGGGAUGGGAUUGAAGAUCUUACUGAGUUCUUGGAUGGAAAUGUCAGUAAUGGGCACUUAGUGCCUUCAGGACUUGUUCUAUACUAUCCCAGAAAUUUCUGAUGCUAAACUUGGCAAUUUUUAAAUGUCAUAUUCCUUUUCUCCAAACUCUUUAACCACAAGAAUUCAGGGAAGGUUAUGGGGGGUGACUUAGUUAUCUGGAUAAUACAUAUUGUGGACAAUAUAGCAUUAUCCUUGGGAAUGAUUUCAUAUUGUUGAAUAAAUAGGAUCAACUUCUUGAUAAACCUUAGUCCCAAGCAUUUCAUCUUCAUUGGAUAGUGUUACAUAGUAAUAUAUUUAUGUUUUCUUUUAAUCAUUUCAUAACUUGGAAAAUACUAACAUAGUCAAAACUCUAGGGUAGGUGAUACAUGAGUUUCUGUAGUAAUCUGGUUGGAGACAUGUUGUAAUUCUGUAUAUAUAUGUACAUUUAUCCCAUGCAUGUUAUGCCUAAACUAAGACGGAUACCCCUGAAUUAAGAGGUGCUGUUAUACAUUGACCAGGCUUAAGAAUAUCUCUUUAAAGUGUGUCGACAUUUAAUUGACCUUUGGAAGUUCAUUCUGUUAAUCAUACUCAAAGUGCUAAAGCUAUGGUUGACUGCUCUGGUGUUUUUAUAUUCAUUCGUGCUUUAGCAUAUAAAUUCUUCAGCAUAAUUGCUACUUAUUUAGCAAGAGUUUCCUUUAUUUGAAAAUGUGAGUUGUGCUUGUAUUUUUGUGUCUUUCUUUCUUUCUUUCUUUUUUUAAACUUUGCUUCAGGCUGGGUAGUGGUAGAGGUUUGAAUUAAAAUGUUUUCCUGUCAGUAGUUGUAUGAGGUGUGGCUUCUUAAUCUAGAAGUAAUGGAAAUUUCUUGCUUAAAUGAAGUGCACUUUUCUUCCUGCAGAAGUUAGAACUCUUUUAGACAAGCUUAACACUUCAAAACUGUAUAUCUUUAACAGAAACUUUUGGAAAUUUUUAAAUUCCAUUUGUGUAGAUUAAAAAUAUCAAUGCUAAUACUUUCUAUUAAAUAAGGAUUUAUCUAUUUUCAUAAAACCUCUAAUUAUAUUCCUUGAAUUGCUAUGAGUAGAAUUUUGUUGUAAUAGAAUUGAUGAUAGAGUGGCAACUUCAAUACACUCAGUAUUCUUUUCUGUUUGAAGUCUGUUUUGCCAUUGGAAAAAACUUAUUGUUGUUUGAAUUUGGGUAUAUGUAUUCACAGAUGGUUUACUUUAUUUUUAUUUUGUUUAAACAAAUACUUUCAUGUCCCAAACACUGAGACAUGUUUCAUGUCCUAAACACUUUAUAAAUAUUAGAAUAUUUAAUCCCCUUAACUCUGUAGUUAUAAUUAUCUUCAUUUUACAAUUGAGAAAACUAAGAUACGACGUUUUAUUUAAUGGUAACGCCUUAAGUAAGGGGAGAGUGAUAAGUGUAAGCAGAGUGGAAAACUUAGUAGUGCUAAGGAGCAACAGAAGUAUGUGCAAGAGUUUGGGAAGAUGUGUCUGCUUGGAAAGGAUCAGGGACUCAGCUGGGAUCAGUCUUAAAGAGCAACAUGUCCUCAUUCCUCAAUUUCAAAUACCAGUGGAUAAUUUUUUUCUUAGCUUUAACCCCAGCCCAUUUCAACCCCCUCUUUGCCCUUUGUAUAUUCUUUUGAAAAUAUGAUCCAGUAGUGUUUAUGAAUGUGUGUUGUGUAAAAUUUAGAGAUUGAUGUUAAACAACAGAAUUAAAGGACAAAGCUGUCUUUUUUGUUGGAAUUGGGGAUGGGAGAGCAGCUCAAAGUGGGAAAUAUGGAGAAAGGAGAGACAUUGUGGAAAAGAAGAGAUAAAUUGAGGGGAAAAAAAGAGGAUGAAAAAAUGAAGAGAGAGAAUUACUGAUGUGCUUCACACCCACACCUCCUCUCCAACUUCACAGUAACAGAGGCAAUGUCACUAUCUUUUACCUGACAAGUGCUUUACCAGGGAGUUGUGCCUGGCAUCGUGGGAGUGGAAAAUUUUUCCCUUUUGCAUUUUGAGACUUGGGUGUGCUGCUUUAAGAUGCCACUGGUAUCUAAGUAAUGUUUGUUUAUACUGGAUAUUUUUCUCUGUAGCCUUUGUGGAUUGGACUUAUAAUAUAAACAAUAUUGUUAGCAGAACUGCAGGUACUCUAUUGCUAUGUUUAUUUUAUUAGUUAAAAAACUACCAGAGCCCUAGGACUUCUGAGCACAUUUAGAAAAUACCAGAGGCAAUUUUAAGACUAGCAUUAGAAAGAAAGAAAAGAAUAAGAAUAAAACUAAGACUUGCAUACCUUAGAAUCCUAACCAAUGUGGUGAUUUUUAAAAAUUAAUGUUUCAGAGACUCUAAAUUAGGGUAGUUGGUUUCAUCAAUUACAUUUUUUAAGUUAAUAUAAAGUGCUUUUGUAUGUAAAUUCUCUUAAUAGAUAAUUUAGGUAAAAUGAAAGUGUGGCAUUUUUUGUUCCAUAGAAUGUAAAACUAACGUCAGAAUAAGAAUUCUUUUGGGAAUUUAGGAUUUUUUUGAUGCUUCUCAAAUCAUCUGUAAUGACUUUUAUUUAUAGAAAAGGUAGAUUAUUCAUUAGUUUUUAUGAAAAACACUCAGUUUAAAUAGCCGGGUAUGGUGGCGCAUGGCUGUAGUCCCAGCUACUCAGGAGGCUGGGCACGAGAAUUGCUUGAACCUGUGAGGCAGAGGUUGCAGUGAGCCAAGAUCGCACCACUGCACUCCAGCCUGGUCCAGAGUGAGAUUCCGUCUCGAACAAAACAAAACAAAAAUAUUGAGCUAAUCUAAAUGGUAAAAAUCUAGAUUUGAAGAAAUUUAUUUUAAAAUAGUUGUUCAUUUGUCAAAUAGAAAAGUAUGAUCUUAGCAGGUUUGGUUAGAUCCCUAUCUGAAACAAAGUAAACUAAAGAUGUUUUUCUUGAUCAAUGCAUAGCAAUAACUGCUGUUCAAACAUGUGAGGAAUCACCAGUAAAUUGGGGGAUAGAAAGCAGGAAAAGGAGCUUUUUUCUCUUAUUUUUUUUCAUUUAUCAGUUUUUCCCAUUUGUCCAUCCUUUCCUAUAAUCAUGGAAAUUUUUAUUUUUUACACUCCUCUCCCCAUUUUUUUAUCCUAGAUUGCCACCACACCAAGGUUUUCUAGAGUUAGGCAGAAAGAGAACCUGGGCCUAGAUGCUAAUGGAAACUAUCCCAUGCUUUCUCAGACUCUCUUUCCUCCCCAGAGACAAGAGGAGCAAAACAGGAGUUGAUGGCUCAUUGCUGUUGCUUCUGUGGCUGCCCUGUUUGGUUGACCUGAGCUUUUUUUAAAAACCUCCACUCUUGACGCUUAACUCUAUGAAUAAAAUUAGGGCCAGUCACACUGUAUUUUCAUCAUCAGUUAUCCCUAGUGAUUCAAAUUUAGCACAAACCUGCUGUGAGUACAUAUUAAUUAGGUGAAUACAGUAGAAUGCAAUCAUAACAUGAGUCUUUUAAUAACUAUUCUUUGUUUGAUUUUUAUUUUAGAAGUUUGAAGUUAUUUUGUUGAAAAUCUAGAAAAUCUUUAUGUGAGCAACUGAGGUUCGGGUAGCCCACAACAGUUUAAAUCAAACAUUAACUUGCAGUAAAACACUACUGAAAGUGUCUUUGAUUUUGAGGUGCAGAGAGCUGUUUCAAGUUAAGUUGCUAUAUUAGUCUGUUCUCAUGCUGCUAAUAAAGACAUACCUGCAACCGGGCAAUUUAUUAAAAAAAAAAAGAGGUUUAAUUGACUGACAGUUCCACAUGGCUGGGGAGGCCUCACCGUCAUGGUGAAAGAGCAAGGGAUGUCUUACAUGGUGGCAGGCAAGAAGUUUGUGCAGAGGAACUCCUGUUUAUAAAACCACCAGAUCUCAUGAGACUUACUCACUACCAGGAGAACAGGAUGCGGGAAACCACCUCGGUGAUUCAGUUAUCUGCACCUGGCCCCACCCUUGACACAUGUUGAUUAUUACAAUUCAAGGUGAGAUUUGGGUAGGUACACAGCCAAACCAUAUCAGCUGCCCAUUCUCCUGUGCAGUGACAUAAAGGUCUGAUAACCUGAUUUAAAGCUUGGACUCUAAGAUUUUUUUUUUUCUUUUUUUGAGUCAGGUUAUCUCUGUCGCUCAAGCUGGAGUUCAGUGGCAUGAACAGGGCUCAUUGCAGCCUCAACCUUCCAGGUUCAAGUGAUUCUCUUGCCUCAACCUCCUGAGUAUCUGGGGCUACAGGCAUGUGCCACCGUGCCAGGCUAAUAUUUUUAUUUUUAUUUUUGUAAAGAUGGGGUCUCACUUCUGGGCUCAAGCAAUCUUUCCUCAGCCUCCCAAAGUGCUGGGAUUAUAGGUGCGAGCCACUGCACCCUGCUGUAAAGAAUUUCAUAUCCCUGUUUUCGGUGUGCUGUGUCACUGUUUGCCAUGGGUAAAGGUAUAUGAAUCUCUUUUAUUUUGCUGCUUGCAACCCAAUUCCCAUGCCAAACCCAAUUUGUAUCCAAACAAACAAUAUUGGAGACAAGUUCUUCUAUAGAAAGCUUCAUAAGCCAGUUACUGACUACUGUGUCUGUAAAUAUACUCAAACUAUUUUGUAGUCUUGCUAUUUUAAAAAAUGUGUGGGUGUGGGAAGUGAUGUUGAAUGAAUUCAGGGUAAUUGGUGGUUCUUUGUAUUAGGAAAACUCACUAGUUAAGGGAAGUCUGUUUUCAUGAUUCAUGUAUGUUUAACUUAAAAAAAAAUUCUUCCAUCCUUCUCUCCAGUUUCCACUCUACCUCAUAAAUUCAAGUAAUGAAGGAAUUUAAAUAAUAGAAUUUUAUAACUGAAAGGAUUUUGGAGAGAAUCUAUUAACCCUCCUACUACAGUUGAGGAAAUAGAUGUCCAGUGAGGUCAAAUGAGAUCAUGUAGCUAGUUUAAAAACCCAAAUAACAUUUUAGUAGUUUGUUUCCAUUAGUAAACACUGUUCUGUUUGAUUUGCCCUAACAUGUUCAUAAUCAGAGUCAUAAUAAGGAAAAAUCACUAAUAUGUGUGUGGUACUUUCUUGUGCAUACCUCAGUCACUUCUCAAAAGAGGUCUGUAAGGUGUCGGUAUCCUGGUUUCCAUUCAGGGAGAGAACAGUCUAUGAGCCUAAGAGACCUGUCUGUGCCAGUCACUAUCAGAACAGUCUAAUGCUAUGUGUCUUCCUACCUUGGCAAAAGCAUUGGCUGGUCUCUGGACAGUUCUCAUAGCGUAACGACCAUGCCUACAUGUCCUUGAACCUUCAGCUCAGUGCACUGGCCAAGAAAAUGUCUGUAAACCUAACCCAUCAUAGCAGUACUCCUCAGUGUGUGUAUUUGGGAUACGGGUGGAGAGUGCAGAAGGGGUAGGAAGAGGGAGGAGGGCAAGGAAGGGUACUAAUAUGCACCUUACUCCCUCUGGAUGCCAAUACUUGUCUUCAGGCAACUUUUCUUGAGGUGGGGUAGAAGAUGUAUGUGUGAAAUCAGUAGUAAUGGUGUAUGAUGUCCUAAGUAGUGCUAGUAAUAAUGAAACUCUGAAUGGCAUUUUUUGAGUGUAUGCUAUCUGCCAGGAACUGUUCUAGGUGCUUUACUUGUGUUAGUCAUAAUUUAAUCCUCACAAUAGCUCUGUGAGGUAGGUGCCUUCGUAACUUUACAUGUACGGAAACUGAGGCAUAGAAAAGCCAAAUGACUUGCUCAAGGUUACUCAGUAAGUGGCAGAGAAUCUAAAGUAAAGAAUAAGGUGCUGAUUGCCUAAUACAUUUUCUCUGUCUGCCCAUCUAGUGAUCAGAUAAAAAGGGGAGGAAAUAAAAAUUAACACUCUUGUUAAAUAAAUAUCUGCGCACCUUCUCUCCAAGCUUCUCAGAAAAGAUAACCGAUAAUUGCUGAUCCAAGACAGAGGAUUUCAGACAUUUGUUUGUUCACUUAAUAAAUACGUAUUAAGUUGUUACUCUGAACCAGACCCUAUGCUGAGAGUUUAGGAUACAGCUGUGAACUACUUAGAUGUAGCCCCAGAAAUGGCCGUUACUGCCUGGCUCUCAGAGAGGCUGAAGGGUGUGGUGAGAGUGUAAAGCAGCUAAUUGUGAGUAAGUGGUAGACAGACUAGAGCUGGGAAAUAGCAUUUGCAGAAGUGGAAGCUUUUCAAGUCCCUGAGAUUGUAAAAUCAAAUUCAAUGUUGAAGUCUAGAUGGAUUGGGAAACUAACUAAUUGAACUGUGUAACAGAUAACCCCUAAGAAACUGAAGUUUGGAGUAGCUUGUUUCCUAAAACAUUUAGUACUAAUAGACUUUUCAGGCCAGUAAUUCAAGCACAUACUAGCGAGAGCUUGUUUCACGUAACUGGUUAACAUGCUAUAAAAAUGGCACUGUCAUCUGAAGUAAAUGUCUUUGAACUUAGAACUGCCAUAUAAGAAUUUGGACUCUUUGCCACAGAGUGAAGAGGAAGCCCAGGAGAACAAUGAGUCAGUUUUUUUUUCUUUUUUUCUACAUUGCCUACAUUUAAUAUUCUUUUAGAGAGUUUUCAAAGAAUUGCUUAUGCAACACCUAUCCCAGUAUUUAUACAGAGGGAGAAAUUGAUCAUUUUCAGAAAGUCCUUUAUUUAGGUAUGUACUACACCUGGGCUGACUCUUAUACUGAUUUCUAAGUUAAUUGUAUCCUAUGCACAGAUCUCAAAAGGACUGUGGGUGAAGAAACAAGAUCAUCAGCCCAAGACCCCUAUUCAACCCUAACUGGGUUCCUUUUCCUAUUUUCCAGUGCAGCUUAUCCUUGUACCUAAAGUUGAGUAGCCCCACUAGGAAAGAUUGGCAGAAAGGAAUAGUUAAGCACCCCUUGGAGCUUGCUGCCUGCAGGAGCCUACUUCUAGGUACUCAGCUUCCCUUCCACUCUCUAGGGAUCCUGUAGACCACAGUGUUUGUGCUCAACUGCAGAAGCUUCAUGUGAGAAAAAAGUUUCCUUUUCUCCACUGACAUAUUCUUCCACUUUUUCUUUAUAUAAUUUCCUGCUGGUCUCUUUAAUCCCCAGGCUUCUUUCAAACUCCUGUUUCUCUAUAUAGUAGCUUCCUGUACAAAUGUAUGUCACAUUUAUAUGUGGAAACUUGCCUAAAUAAAAUUAGGCAGAUGUGUGAUGCCAGAUAUACACAUAUGACUCAUGUUUGAAGUUUGUAAGUUCUGCUGCUUUCAACCCCACAGAUGUCUCUUACUGCCCACUUGGGCCCUGGUGAUUAAGCAACUAGAUUUGGAGCCAGUCAGGCUUUUGUUUAGACAUUUUAACUUUUUCUUGCUUUCCUUGCAAACUCCUCAGCCUUCAGACUGGUUGGAAAGUAAAUGUACAAUCUUACAUAAAUUUUCAGGUAAUAGCAUUUCAGCUUUUUCCCCAAGAUUUUUUGCUUGGGAGGAGACAGAUUAGACUGGAUUCGGAGUCUUGAUUUUGCAAAGGUAACAAAAGACAUGUUUUUUUAUAAGACUUUUCAUCAUAAGUUUAUUUUAUUCAACAGAAGCAAAAUCUAAUAUAAUGGAAAAAAUAAAGAUCUGUGAUAAAUCUGAUCUGUGUGGAUAAACACAAUUAGAAAGACUUAAAGAUUAAGUAUUGAAACAAACUACCAAAAUAUUUUAAUACUGAUUUGUAAAAAUUUCAGUACAUUUUUCUUCUUUGCUUAAUUCUACUGGGUCCUGUUUUUCAUCAAAACAUUCUAUCAUGUUAGUAUACAAUAACCAUUUUUUGUAAGGAAUCAUUUUAUCAACUAGGAUGACAAGAGGCCUCUCCCAUCCUGGUUGCACAUCACUUUCUAUAACAGAGAGACAUGGGCCAGAAGCCCUGAUGGAGAAAGCAGCCAAUGUCCCUUACAUUUCCACCUUUGGCUUGAAAAAAAGAUCUGUGCACUCAUAUAUAUUUCAUAUAUAUUUUCCAUAUAUAUAUAUAUAAAUUCAUCAGAACAAGGUUGUCUUUUUUUCUUCUGACCACACCAAUGUAAUGAAACAGUAAGUGUGAAAAAGAAAAAAAAAAAUACAGGAAUCAAGAGCCCAAAGAAUUUUUAAGGAAACCAUGAUUGAAUAGGUUAUAUCAGACUGACUGGUCUCCUAACUUUGAUUCUGCCCACACCAUUCAAUAGAAAGAGGACAUGGAAUUCCAGCUAUUCCCUCCACUAUAGAAUUUACUACAUUUUAAAUUUAAACAGGUUAAUUUAAGCUACAGUAAUAAUUUGAGACAGAAUCUCAUCAAGCACAGAUUCAAAGUACCACACUUUGAGGUCAGAGUGGAGAGAGCUUUUCCCUUGGGAUGAACAUGAGAAGGUUAAUUAAAGAGGAAGUGGACUUUCUCAGAGCAAAGGGUAUUUUCAUAAAACCAUGGAAUCUUUGAGUUGGCUAAAUCUCCAUAAAUUUUAUGAACAUAUUGUGUUCUUUUAUCUACUGUAAAGUCACAUUACUGUUGAUUUUCCAUAUAUUUUAACUGUAGUGAGUUAUUCUAUGAUUUGCAAUAUACCAUUUUUAUGCAUGUAAAGUUGUAUUCUAACAUAUUUACUUUUUGCUCAUUUGAUUAAAUUUAUUACUGUGUAUCCCAUCAUUAAGGUAACUAAUUUUCAGUAAUUAAACUGUUGGUCUUCUGUUUAGCCAUUAUUCUCAGUUCUGUGCAGGAGUGAGCUGAAACAAAGUUGUAUAGCCCAGAGAGUGAGAAGCUGCAUUUCAUGUCUCCCAACAGUCAGAAAGGGAUUAUGUACUGUUUAAGGAAGGAGUUUGGCGAAUAUUUUGAAACCCUUUUGGGAAAGCAUAGAAUAUUGAAAAUCCAAAAUUAACCAAAUCCGUGAGUGUGCAAGCUCAAAGCUAGAGACCUUAGGAAUAUCUUAGGAUGUGCAAAACAGGAAGAAAACAAGAACUGAGCAGGCAGCACUAAGUAAGUGUCAUAUAGCCUCCCCACCCACCCUUCCAACCCUACUCCUAAAAGAGCCAUAAUUUAGUCCCAAGUAUACUUUUCUGAUCUUUUCCUGUGACAUAUUAUGGUAUCUUCAAAUGGUACUGGGUUUCCUGAGGCUUGUGCUGCUGACUGCCAACCCCAUCCUAGAGAGCACUGAGCGACAGAUACUGUAAACAUCCUACACUCUCAGCUGUGGAAAGUAAGAAAGCUGGGAGAAGGCUGUUUACUCUUUCUGCCUUGGAAGUCAACUAAAGAGAAAUGGAUUUUGAAUAUUUCUAUGUCUUAGAAUUGAUCCUAUCCCGUGUUUGUUUCUGAGGUCAACUGUAAAAGGAAAAAAGGUGAAUUGACUAAGUCAUCCAAAGAAAUGUAAGAUAAUCUAUAAUAUCAGUUAUAUUUGAACUGUUUCACUUAGUUUAAAAAGAAAAAAAAGAUUACCAAAUACCCAAGUGACAAAAGUUCUGGUUAACUUGUAUGAGGCUACAUUUUGUGGGUUGCUGCAGUCUGAUCUGUAAAAGCAACACAUUACCUAUACGUUAAGCUAAACAUUUCUCCUUUAACCUGAGAGCAUUCCACACUGAAGUCUGCUUUUCUUGAAGCAAAAAUUCUAGUGUCCUUGGACUUGCUAUUUUAUCAGGGAUCAAAGGCACCUUGGAGCCCCAUGCUUUAGGAAUUGUAAUGGCAAACAAUAAGGUCUGCUCUUUAAAGCUAGAAUAUAGUUACACAUUUCAGGAAAAAAUAGAAUUGUUGUUGGAGGACGGGAGAGGAAGGAAAAUGUAGAGGUAAGGGAUGGGAUGCAAGAAGUUAAUUUUAAGAAAAAUCUACAGAACGAACUCAUAAGUUCAGCCUUAACCAGAAAAACUCUUUCAUGUAAAUCGUUUAAAUCAAAGGUCUAUUAAACAUCUAAUCUAGAAUGUAACUUACCUGAAAUUUGAGUCCAUUGCUGAUUUAUUUAAAAUUAUUAUGAAAUAAGCCUUCUUGUUAAAGAGAAUAUUUAAAUUGCUCAACUUUAAUUUUGCAGUCAGAAUUGUGUAAGCUGAACCAGUUGGAAUGUCUGUGGCGUUGGCUAUGGUUUGUACUGUUAAUCAUCAGUACUCUUCAAUUAGGGCACAAACAAGAUUUUUUUUUUCCUUGCAAAUUGAUGUAGUUUGUCUUCUAUAGUGGGCUUCAUCUUCAACAUCAUCUCAUCUUUUCUUAAAAUAAAUUAUUCAUUUGUAAACUGCCAAUUUCUUUGGGGCAUUGCCCCCACUAACAUUUUGUAAAGCAGCAAUGAUUUCCUGAUUUUCCCACCCAAACUUCCCCAUAAAUUUGAUGUUCUUGCUUUAAUUUUAGCAGAAUUGACAUUGCUCUGAUAAGGGCUCUUUUCAAACUGAUUUCUUAUCCUUUUUUGUGCCUCAAAAUAGAUCCUGUUCAGACAUGUUACAAAUUAGUACAAGUUUAUUUUGAUAUAAGAAAAAAUUGAAAUCCAUGUAUAGUUUUUCCAUAAUAUGUAUUUUCCAUGAACUUUUUGAAAUUCUUCGUAUUUGCUGAGAUGAUAUUGCUAAGGAGUUAUAUAAUAUAAAAAGUUACAUGUUUGUGUGUUUAUAUAUGUUGCAUAUGUUAUAUAUAUUCAAAUUAUCAUUGUAUCUGAUACAAGUAAACAUAUUAAUUUG
Molecule: long non-coding RNA, 12222 nt
Filed under: Homo sapiens (human)
Lineage: Eukaryota; Metazoa; Chordata; Mammalia; Primates; Hominidae
Description: non-protein coding LINC00472:10
Rfam family: mir-30 microRNA precursor family (bases 10734-10809)
Source: RNAcentral